RNAcentral lists this ribosomal RNA (523 nucleotides) under uncultured bacterium. RNAcentral describes it as "bacterial SSU rRNA". It matches the Rfam family "Bacterial small subunit ribosomal RNA", at positions 777 to 1300 of the family's 1533-position model. The record is from RNAcentral.
AAUAGAUACCCAGGUAGUCCACGCCGUAAACGAUGAGUGCUAAGUGUUAGGGGGUUUCCGCCCCUUAGUGCUGCAGCUAACGCAUUAAGCACUCCGCCUGGGGAGUACGGUCGCAAGACUGAAACUCAAAGGAAUUGACGGGGGCCCGCACAAGCGGUGGAGCAUGUGGUUUAAUUCGAAGCAACGCGAAGAACCUUACCAGCUCUUGACAUCCUCUGACAAUCCUAGAGAUAGGACGUCCCCUUCGGGGGCAGAGUGACAGGUGGUGCAUGGUUGUCGUCAGCUCGUGUCGUGAGAUGUUGGGUUAAGUCCCGCAACGAGCGCAACCCUUGAUCUUAGUUGCCAGCAUUCAGUUGGGCACUCUAAGGUGACUGCCGGUGACAAACCGGAGGAAGGUGGGGAUGACGUCAAAUCAUCAUGCCCCUUAUGACCUGGGCUACACACGUGCUACAAUGGACAGAACAAAGGGCAGCGAAACCGCGAGGUUAAGCCAAUCCCACAAAUCUGUUCUCAGUUCGGAUCG